Molecule: ribosomal RNA, 516 nt
Filed under: Bacillus pumilus
Lineage: Bacteria; Bacillati; Bacillota; Bacilli; Caryophanales; Bacillaceae
Description: bacterial SSU rRNA
Rfam family: Bacterial small subunit ribosomal RNA
Source: RNAcentral
UCCCCCUAGUGGCGAGGUCUGACGGAGCACGCCGCGUGAGUGAUGAAGGUUUUCGGAUCGUAAAGCUCUGUUGUUAGGGAAGAACAAGUGCAAGAGUAACUGCUUGCACCUUGACGGUACCUAACCAGAAAGCCACGGCUAACUACGUGCCAGCAGCCGCGGUAAUACGUAGGUGGCAAGCGUUGUCCGGAAUUAUUGGGCGUAAAGGGCUCGCAGGCGGUUUCUUAAGUCUGAUGUGAAAGCCCCCGGCUCAACCGGGGAGGGUCAUUGGAAACUGGGAAACUUGAGUGCAGAAGAGGAGAGUGGAAUUCCACGUGUAGCGGUGAAAUGCGUAGAGAUGUGGAGGAACACCAGUGGCGAAGGCGACUCUCUGGUCUGUAACUGACGCUGAGGAGCGAAAGCGUGGGGAGCGAACAGGAUUAGAUACCCUGGUAGUCCACGCCGUAAACGAUGAGUGCUAAGUGUUAGGGGGUUUCCGCCCCUUAGUGCUGCAGCUAACGCAUUAAGCACUCCGCC